UGCUGUCACUGUUCUCUGUGUAUCAAACUGAGAGAUAUGACAUCCUGCUGGAUCUGUACUCACAUGUGAAGGACUAUGAGACUCAAACAGGCAGGAGUGUCCUUUUGGCAUUACAGCCAGUUUACCAGUCAGCUCCUGCAGUCUGGUCCAUAGACCUCUCAGAGAGAAAGGCCUCCCUCCUCCUAGAAGUGCUGAAACUCCAACCAGAGAAGAAACCAGUAGAGCUGAAGGGCUGGUCAAAUGAAGAGAGUGAAGUGAGGAGUUUCCUUCAGUGUCUGUCCUACAUCUCACAGCUGAGGCUGAAUGUGGGUGUGGCAGUGAAACUGUCCAGACUGGUUAGGAGGACAGGGAGAGGUGCUACUCCACUGACUGUCCCAGAGCUCUCCCUGGUCCUACAGAGCAGCCAGCCACCAGAGAGAGUGUUAU
This is a long non-coding RNA of Oncorhynchus tshawytscha (Chinook salmon), 426 nucleotides long. The record is from Ensembl. NCBI's taxonomy places the organism in Eukaryota, Metazoa, Chordata, Actinopteri, Salmoniformes, Salmonidae.